UACGUAGGUGGCAAGCGUUGUCCGGAAUUAUUGGGCGUAAAGCGCGCGCAGGCGGUCCUUUAAGUCUGAUGUGAAAGCCCACGGCUCAACCGUGGAGGGUCAUUGGAAACUGGGGGACUUGAGUGCAGAAGAGGAAAGCGGAAUUCCACGUGUAGCGGUGAAAUGCGUAGAGAUGUGGAGGAACACCAGUGGCGGAGGCGGCUUUCUGGUCUGUAACUGACGCUGAGGCGCGAAAGCGUGGGGAGCAAACAGG
RNAcentral lists this ribosomal RNA (253 nucleotides) under uncultured bacterium. RNAcentral describes it as "partial 16S ribosomal RNA". It matches the Rfam family "Bacterial small subunit ribosomal RNA", at positions 524 to 776 of the family's 1533-position model. The record is from RNAcentral.